UGGGGAAUAUUGCACAAUGGGCGCAAGCCUGAUGCAGCGACGCCGCGUGGGGGAUGACGGCCUUCGGGUUGUAAACUCCUUUCGCUAGGGACGAAGCUUUUUGUGACGGUACCUAGAUAAGAAGCACCUGCUAACUACGUGCCAGCAGCCGCGGUAAUACGUAGGGUGCGAGCGUUGUCCGGAAUUACUGGGCGUAAAGGGCUCGUAGGUGGUUUGUCGCGUCGUCUGUGAAAUUCCGGGGCUUAACUCCGGGCGUGCAGGCGAUACGGGCAUAACUUGAGUACUGUAGGGGUAACUGGAAUUCCUGGUGUAGCGGUGAAAUGCGCAGAUAUCAGGAGGAACACCGAUGGCGAAGGCAGGUUACUGGGCAGUUACUGACGCUGAGGAGCGAAAGCAUGGGUAGCGAACAGG
RNAcentral lists this ribosomal RNA (411 nucleotides) under Verrucomicrobiota bacterium. RNAcentral describes it as "Verrucomicrobia bacterium partial 16S ribosomal RNA". It matches the Rfam family "Bacterial small subunit ribosomal RNA", at positions 355 to 776 of the family's 1533-position model. The record is from RNAcentral. Lineage: Bacteria; Pseudomonadati; Verrucomicrobiota.